Molecule: ribosomal RNA, 425 nt
Filed under: uncultured bacterium
Lineage: Bacteria
Description: bacterial SSU rRNA
Rfam family: Bacterial small subunit ribosomal RNA
Source: RNAcentral
UAAGGAAUAUUGGUCAAUGGAGGCAACUCUGAACCAGCCAUGCCGCGUGCAGGAAGACUGCCCUAUGGGUUGUAAACUGCUUUUAUACGGGAACAAACCCCACUACGUGUUAGUGGGCUGAGUGUACUGUAGGAAUAAGGAUCGGCUAACUCCGUGCCAGCAGCCGCGGUAAUACGGAGGAUCCAAGCGUUAUCCGGAUUUAUUGGGUUUAAAGGGUGCGUAGGCGGCCCAUUAAGUCAGGGGUGAAAUACGGUGGCUCAACCAUCGCAGUGCCUUUGAUACUGAUGGGCUUGAAUGCGGAUGAGGUAGGCGGAAUGAGACAAGUAGCGGUGAAAUGCAUAGAUAUGUCUCAGAACUCCGAUUGCGAAGGCAGCUUACUAAGUCGUGAUUGACGCUGAUGCACGAAAGCGUGGGGAUCAAACAGG